This is a long non-coding RNA of Podarcis raffonei (Aeolian wall lizard), 1551 nucleotides long. RefSeq lists it as uncharacterized. The transcript is spliced from 2 exons. The record is from RefSeq and is a predicted model, not a curated record. NCBI's taxonomy places the organism in Eukaryota, Metazoa, Chordata, Lepidosauria, Squamata, Lacertidae.
CCCAGGGAAAAGUCUUCCCAAAGUGGGGGAAAUGACUUUAUGCCUUGUCAGAAAUGCACCUCACUGAACCUUUUCCCCCACCCACCCCCGACGAUCUACCCAAAGCUUCUAUUAAAAAGUGCUGCGCUUUGGGGAUGUCAGGAGACAGCCAAUCGGAUUGCAUGGCCUAAGGUAAGGGAUGAGCCUAUAGUUCAGAGCUGUCAAUCAUUCCAACAUCUCUCUCUCUCUCUCUCUCUCUCUCUCUCUCUCUCUCUCUCUCUCUUAACCCCCACUUGCUUUUGCAACUUUAUUCCUACCGCUUGCCAAGGGAAGGGAACAGACAAACCUUGAAAGACAGUUUUCCAGGCUAACAAGAUUUCUUCUUUAUAUAUAUUUAUAUAUAUAUAUUUUAAAAAUCUCCCAGGGAUGUGCAUUGCAUGGCCCAUCUGGUGUGACACGAUAAGGCAAGCCUCUUGGAAGGAGCCACACUUCAGCUGCAGGAACUGCUCCCUGAGUGAGCCUGCCUAGCCCAAUCUCUGCUUGCUUCCCAGCAAAUUUGGCCAUCUGAGGAGGAUUUGAAAGCUGGUUGGAGGUUUUAUCCAAAAGCUGAAAGCCGGUGCAUUUAUUUUGGGGAGGCCACUUCACUCUUCACUUGCACCAGUUAUUCUCAAAUAAUUGUUUCGCUGUAUCUGUUGCUAGCUGCCUUGCACAUCAAAAUUGCUAGGAAAGAUAAGCCAUCGAACCCUUUAAAUAAAUAAAACAUUGACACUAAGGGUGGGUGUUACAGUGCUCAUACUGUAAUAUAACGGUAGAUUCAUUACGUAUGAAUUGUCCCUUGGUGGAUGGGGUUCUGCUCACGACCUGAGCUUUGUUUAUUGCCAAAUCAAUCAAGAUUGAUUGAUAUUGAUUGAUUGAUUGAUUGAUUGAUUGCCAUAUCUGAGACUGACGGCUCAUCACCAGUAGCAGCCAUAUGUGUGCAUUAAGAGUGACUCCCUUCCCUUAAGUUUUCGGCUUGGCUCCCUUGCAAGAGCGAUCUGUAGCUGCUUGCUCCACAAGCACAUUUCCAUAGCAUCGCUUUUGCUCUCUGCGUGUAACAUGACGUGGAUGGCACAGCUAGAUCCGGUGUGUGUCUGUAGAUAAACAGAUGGUUUUACCUCACAAGCAGGUGGGUACAGCUGCAAGACCUUUCGGAGUUCCUACAGCACUCAUGGAUCAUAGGGUGAUUAACAAAGUGCGUUUUGUGACAGAGAGCAGGAAUUUCAAAUCUGAUAUCCCGCAAGCAGCGGUUUACCACUCCAAAGGCACUAGAGAGCAUGCGCAAGUUAUUCAGCUCGCUUUAAAAAGUUGUUUAUGUACUGAGGUUCUCACCCUGGGCCAGCAGGGGGAUACUGUAGAUAGUUUUCACUCAGGUCCACAUAUGCAAAUAAGGGAUUGAAAGUGACAUUCAGUGAUUGGAUAGUUACAGAAAAUGGUUACUGUUGCGUUCUAGUGGAGCUCUAUAUAAGCAGGCUGGCUGAACCCUUCAGUUCAGUUCUGUUCUGGCCUGUGAAUAAACAAGAGCUGUUUGAAGAA